AAGGAAUAUUGGGCAAUGGACGCAAGUCUGACCCAGCCAUGCCGCGUGAAGGAUGAAGCAUUUAGGUGCGUAAACUUCUUUUGUACGGGAAUAAAGUGGGCUACGUGUAGCCUUUUGUAUGUACCGUACGAAUAAGGAUCGGCUAACUCCGUGCCAGCAGCCGCGGUAAUACGGAGGAUCCGAGCGUUAUCCGGAUUUAUUGGGUUUAAAGGGUGCGUAGGUGGAUUGAUAAGUCAGUAGUGAAAGUUUGCAGCUUAACUGUAAAAUUGCCGUUGAAACUGUCGGUCUUGAGUGCAAAUGAGGUAGGCGGAAUGCGUCGUGUAGCGGUGAAAUGCUUAGAUAUGACGCAGAACUCCGAUUGCGAAGGCAGCUUACUGGGAUGCAACUGACACUGAGGCACGAAAGCGUGGGUAUCAAAC
Molecule: ribosomal RNA, 419 nt
Filed under: uncultured bacterium
Lineage: Bacteria
Description: bacterial SSU rRNA
Rfam family: Bacterial small subunit ribosomal RNA
Source: RNAcentral